GAUGGGCCGCUCGCGCAGCCGGAGCUCGUCGCGCUCCAAGCACGCCAAGAGCAGCAAGCACAACAAGAAGCGCAGCCGCUCCCGCUCCCGCUCGCGCGACAAGGAGCGCGUGCGCAAGCGCUCCAAGUCCCGGGAGAGCAAACGCAACCGGCGGCGGGAGUCGCGCUCCCGCUCGCGCUCCACCAACGCGGCCGCGUCCCGGCGGGAGCGCGAGCGCGAGCGCGCCUCGUCGCCCCCCGACCGCAUCGACAUCUUCGGGCGCACGGUGAGCAAGCGCAGCAGCCUGGACGAGAAGCAGAAGCGGGAGGAGGAGGAGAAGAAAGCGGAGUUCGAGCGGCAGCGAAAAAUUCGACAGCAGGAAAUAGAAGAAAAGCUCAUCGAGGAAGAAACAGCGCGAAGAGUGGAAGAACUGGUGGCCAAAAGGGUAGAGGAAGAGCUGGAGAAGAGAAAGGAUGAGAUCGAGCGUGAAGUUCUCCGCAGGGUGGAGGAAGCUAAGCGCAUCAUGGAAAAGCAGUUGCUCGAAGAGCUCGAGCGACAGAGACAAGCUGAGCUUGCCGCACAGAAAGCUAGAGAGGUAACGCUCGGUCGUUUGGGAAGUAGAGACAGUCCAUGGCAAAACUUUCAGUGUCGGGUGUGCCUCCUGCUCGGCUCAGAGAGAGGGGAUGCAGACGAGUUCCUGUCUCAUCUAAACGUACAGUGCUGCGAAAGAUGAUUUUUUUAGUCUAUUCAGAAGUGCUGGCUGAUACUUAAAAGUUACUUUCAUAAAACUUAUUCAAGGAUAACUUGAUUGAAUGGAACUGGCUUACAUAUUUGAGAAGUGUUUGAAACUUUUGCCAUGGCUGCAGGACUUACAUUCUUCUCUGGGAGGGCGGGGAGACGGAGUGGUGAAGGGAAAGGUUACAAACCCACCUGUGGUUCUGUGUUCUUCUCUGUUUAUCGCUGACUAGACUGAGAGAGCUUCUCGCCUUCAGUCAGAUGGAGGGGAGCAGGGCCAAUGAGUGACAGCGCCUGCUUCUCAUAAAUAGGUGUUCUCUUCUCCUUCCUUCUCUUACCCUCAUCCCUCCCUAAACCCUUCUCAGCACAUUGUAGCAUUCUGAUCAUAAGGCCCUCCAUGUUAAAUUCUAAUGUGCUUCAAGGAGUCUUAAAGAACAAUGUCCAGAUUAUUCAUCCUUUCCCCCCUUUUUCUUUUUCCUUUUUCUUUUUUUAGUACCUACUAACAACUCCUUUUUUCCUCUAGAGAGUAAUGAAGGAACAGGUUGUCCUUGUCUGGAGUCGAGCUAAACACAUGAUUUGUUUUAUCAGCAGCCGGAGCAGAAGUUGAAAAUAUCUUUCUGUGAGACAGUAAUUUGCUACUGAAGCUUUAUGGCUUGUUUGCACUCAUUACUCCUGGACCCUAUGACUUGGUGAAAGUCACUGAAACACUGGAGGCAAAGUGCUUCCAGCACUGAGUGUCCAUCAGUACACUGGUGUAAUGACUGAAUCACAGUGGUGUGGCCAUAGGAGAUCUGUAGUUACGCUCUCGUGAACUAAAACAUUAGGCUUAAAAACAAACACAUGACUUCUUGUCAUUUUUCAUCUUGUCAUUAUAGUGGACAAGCUGACAUCGUAUUAGAUCUGGCUUUCUAGUAAGCUUUGCUUGUCAAAUGCAUUUCCCCUGACCUUUCUGAGCUACAUACACCUGUCUGCAGUUAAUUUCAGACUGUAAAAUUGAAUGUAUGCUAUUUUUAUUUAUAUCUGUGCUUUCAGUAAUGAAGAUAUUUUUGGAGUAAAUUGUGCUGUCUUGUAGCGAGUUAUUAAUCAUAGCAAGAUUUUUUUCUCUUCAUGUGCUUUUUGUUUCAUAUUAACUUUUUUUUUUUUUUUUAACACGGACACAACCCUUUGGCAGUCUUUCCAAUACUAAAAGUCAUUUGAGUAUGUAUGCUGUGAUCUGAGCACUGCCCAAAUCAUCAGGCAGUCUUCAUAGAGCUUGCAUUUUACAAUUUAUGAAAUUUUCCAAGAACAGAUAAAUGACAGAAUUUUUACUUCCUGACUGUGCAUCCCCCGGAUUCCUGAAUUUCAGUUCAGACUGUAGAUGACAAUCUAAGCUGCCUUUAGACAUUGUCAACAUCUGAAUGUUCAGUCCAUUUCCCCAUGGAAGAAGCCCUUAGCUCCAUGAAGUAUGGAUUACCAUUUGUACUUUUCACUAACAGUAAAUGUAUUUUUCUUAUUAAUUGUUUGCCUUAGGAAUGAUGAAUUACAUUUUUUUGUUCCUUCUUACCAUAAACAUCUGCAUUCCUCAGCUCAGCCUUCCUUGUAUGUUGUUCUUAUAAAUGGUUGAGCUGCUGAUGCAGGUAUUGCCAAGCUAACAGUACAAAUCAUUUUAAAGAGGAAGCUGGCGCGUAUGGCAGCCGAGGAGCACACUCUGCAGGACACUGGACAAGACAGAGGAAGAACGUGCAAAACGUGAAGAGCUCGAGAGGAUACUGGAAGAGAAUAACCGAAAAAUCGCAGAAGCACAGGCCAAACU
Jaculus jaculus (lesser Egyptian jerboa) is the source of this 2506-nucleotide RNA transcript. It is a transcript of the gene named arginine and glutamate rich 1, with no coding region annotated. The transcript has 3 exons. The record is from RefSeq and is a predicted model, not a curated record. Lineage: Eukaryota; Metazoa; Chordata; Mammalia; Rodentia; Dipodidae.